UAAUACGUAGGGUGCAAGCGUUAAUCGGAAUUACUGGGCGUAAAGCGUGCGCAGGCGGUUUGUUAAGUCAGCUGUGAAAUCCCCGGGCUCAACCUGGGAAUGGCAGUUGAGACUGGCAGGCUGGAGUGUGUCAGAGGGGGGUAGAAUUCCACGUGUAGCAGUGAAAUGCGUAGAGAUGUGGAGGAAUACCGAUGGCGAAGGCAGCCCCCUGGGAUAACACUGACGCUCAUGCACGAAAGCGUGGGGAGCAAACAGG
This 256-nucleotide ribosomal RNA is filed under the name uncultured bacterium. RNAcentral's name for it is "partial 16S ribosomal RNA". It matches the Rfam family "Bacterial small subunit ribosomal RNA", at positions 521 to 776 of the family's 1533-position model. The record is from RNAcentral.